GCCAGUUUGGCUCAGUGGAUAGAGCAUCAGCCUGUGGGCUGAAGGGUCCCAGGUUCAAUUCCGGUCAAGGGCA
This 73-nucleotide transfer RNA is filed under the name Myotis brandtii (Brandt's bat). It matches the Rfam family "tRNA". Rfam says of the family: Transfer RNA (tRNA) molecules are approximately 80 nucleotides in length. Their secondary structure includes four short double-helical elements and three loops (D, anti-codon, and T loops). The record is from Rfam by way of RNAcentral. Lineage: Eukaryota; Metazoa; Chordata; Mammalia; Chiroptera; Vespertilionidae.